Molecule: ribosomal RNA, 464 nt
Filed under: uncultured bacterium
Lineage: Bacteria
Description: partial 16S ribosomal RNA
Rfam family: Bacterial small subunit ribosomal RNA
Source: RNAcentral
CUACGGGGGGCUGCAGUGGGGAAUAUUGCACAAUGGGCGCAAGCCUGAUGCAGCCAUGCCGCGUGUAUGAAGAAGGCCUUCGGGUUGUAAAGUACUUUCAGCGGGGAGGAAGGGAGUAAAGUUAAUACCUUUGCUCAUUGACGUUACCCGCAGAAGAAGCACCGGCUAACUCCGUGCCAGCAGCCGCGGUAAUACGGGGGGUGCAAGCGUUAAUCGGAAUUACUGGGCGUAAAGCGCACGCAGGCGGUUUGUUAAGUCAGAGGUGAAAUCCCCGGGCUCAACCUGGGAACUGCAUCUGAUACUGGCAAGCUUGAGUCUCGUAGAGGGGGGUAGAAUUCCAGGUGUAGCGGUGAAAUGCGUAGAGAUCUGGAGGAAUACCGGUGGCGAAGGCGGCCCCCUGGACGAAGACUGACGCUCAGGUGCGAAAGCGUGGGGAGCAAACAGGAUUAGAUACCCCGGUAGUC